Molecule: non-coding RNA, 525 nt
Organism: Lontra canadensis (Northern American river otter)
Lineage: Eukaryota; Metazoa; Chordata; Mammalia; Carnivora; Mustelidae
Source: the annotation of a RefSeq genome assembly
GCCUGGAAAGAAAGAAGAAAGGCCAGGGUGAGGCUGGCUCAGCUGUGGUUUUCAGAAGACAGAGCUCUGGGCACAUCCACCAUGGCCUGGACCCCUCUUUCACUCCUUGUCCUCACUCUCUGCACAGGCUCCGUGGUCUCCAGUGAGCUGUCUCAGCCACCCUUUGUGUCAGUGGCCCUGGGAAAGACAGCUACAAUCACCUGCACUGGAGAAGAACUGGAUUAUGGUUAUGUACAAUGGUACCAACAGAAGCCAGGGCAAGCCCCUUUGACGGUCAUUUAUGGGGAUAGUGAAAGGCCCUCUGGGAUCCCAGAGCGAUUCUCUGGCUCCAAGUCAGGGAACACGGCCACCCUCACCAUCAGCAGCACACAGGCCGAGGACGAGGCUGACUAUUUCUGUCAGUUCUAUGACAGCAGUGCUGAUGCUCACAGUGACACAAGCACAUGGGGAAGUGAGACACAAACUCCUUCCCCAUCUGUGUCACCCUCUCCUCCAGCCCCAGGAGGCCUGUGCACAGAGCAGUGA